RNAcentral lists this transfer RNA (63 nucleotides) under Hydropsyche saxonica. RNAcentral describes it as "tRNA-Ser". Lineage: Eukaryota; Metazoa; Arthropoda; Insecta; Trichoptera; Hydropsychidae. The record is from RNAcentral.
GAAAUAUAUUUAUUUUAAACUUCUAAUUUAAAAAAUAGUGACUAUAAACUCAUUAAUAUUUCU